UACGUAGGGUGCAAGCGUUGUCCGGAAUUAUUGGGCGUAAAGAGCUCGUAGGCGGUCUGUCACGUCGGCUGUGAAAUCCCGGAGGCUCAACCUCGGGUCUGCAGUCGAUACGGGCAAACUAGAGUAUUGCAGGGGAGACUGGAAUUCCUGGUGUAGCGGUGAAAUGCGCAGAUAUCAGGAGGAACACCGGUGGCGAAGGCGGGUCUCUGGGCAAUAACUGACGCUGAGGAGCGAAAGCGUGGGGAGCGAACAGG
Molecule: ribosomal RNA, 254 nt
Filed under: uncultured bacterium
Lineage: Bacteria
Description: partial 16S ribosomal RNA
Rfam family: Bacterial small subunit ribosomal RNA
Source: RNAcentral